UACGUAGGGUGCAAGCGUUGUCCGGAAUUAUUGGGCGUAAAGAGCUCGUAGGCGGUCUGUCGCGUCUGCUGUGAAAACUCGGGGCUUAACCCCGGGCCUGCAGUGGGUACGGGCAGGCUAGAGUUCGGCAGGGGAGACUGGAAUUCCUGGUGUAGCGGUGAAAUGCGCAGAUAUCAGGAGGAACACCGGUGGCGAAGGCGGGUCUCUGGGCCGAUACUGACACUGAGGAGCGAAAGCGUGGGGAGCGAACAGG
Molecule: ribosomal RNA, 253 nt
Filed under: uncultured bacterium
Lineage: Bacteria
Description: partial 16S ribosomal RNA
Rfam family: Bacterial small subunit ribosomal RNA
Source: RNAcentral